This 578-nucleotide ribosomal RNA is filed under the name uncultured Glomeromycotina. Its description in RNAcentral is "LSU rRNA". It matches the Rfam family "Eukaryotic large subunit ribosomal RNA", at positions 204 to 637 of the family's 3401-position model. Lineage: Eukaryota; Fungi; Glomeromycota. The record is from RNAcentral.
CAUGGAGGGUGAGAAUCCCGUUCGGUUAACCAAAGCGCUUUACGAUACGCUUUCAAAGAGUCAAGUUGUUUGGGAUUGCAGCUUAAAAUGGGAGGUAAAUUUCUCCUAAGGCUAAAUAUUGGCGAGAGACCGAUAGCGAACAAGUACCGUGAGGGAAAGAUGAAAAGAACUUUGAAAAGAGAGUUAAACAGUACGUGAAAUUGUUGAAAGGGAAACGAUUAAAGUCAGUCGUACCUACGAGUGAUCAACCUACUAGAGUGCGAUUUUGUGGGUAUGUUAGAGUUUAAACCUUCAUGCUUACAAAUUGGUACUCUUUGGGCGUACUUUCUCGUAUGGUAGGUUAACAUCAAUUUCGAUCGUUAUAAAAUGACUGGAGGAAUGUAGCUUCGAUUUCGGUUGAAGUGUUAUAGCCUUUGGUAGAUGUAAUGAUUGGGAUUGAGGAUUGCAACGGAUACCCUCUGGGCUAUUCGUCUGAUCUCUGGAAGUUACCAUGGUGUCGAAAGCGUGCUUACGAUAUUAAGGUUGACGGCCAAUAGGUUAGAACGUGAUUAAAUUCGUUAAGGAUGUUGACGUAAUGG